CUACGGGGUGCUCCAGUGGGGAAUAUUGGACAAUGGGGGCAACCCUGAUCCAGCCAUGCCGCGUGUGUGAAGAAGGCCUUUUGGUUGUAAAGCACUUUAAGCAGUGAAGAAGACCAUAUGGUUAAUACCCAUAUGCGAUGACAUUAGCUGCAGAAUAAGCACCGGCUAACUCUGUGCCAGCAGCCGCGGUAAUACAGAGGGUGCAAGCGUUAAUCGGAAUUACUGGGCGUAAAGCGAGCGUAGGUGGCUUGAUAAGUCAGAUGUGAAAUCCCCGGGCUUAACCUGGGAACUGCAUCUGAUACUGUUAAGCUAGAGUAGGUGAGAGGGAAGUAGAAUUCCAGGUGUAGCGGUGAAAUGCGUAGAGAUCUGGAGGAAUACCGAUGGCGAAGGCAGCUUCCUGGCAUCAUACUGACACUGAGGUUCGAAAGCGUGGGUAGCAAACAGGAUUAGAUACCCCUGUAGUC
This 464-nucleotide ribosomal RNA is filed under the name uncultured bacterium. Its description in RNAcentral is "partial 16S ribosomal RNA". It matches the Rfam family "Bacterial small subunit ribosomal RNA", at positions 339 to 795 of the family's 1533-position model. The record is from RNAcentral.